This 301-nucleotide ribosomal RNA is filed under the name uncultured bacterium. Its description in RNAcentral is "partial 16S ribosomal RNA". It matches the Rfam family "Bacterial small subunit ribosomal RNA", at positions 509 to 809 of the family's 1533-position model. The record is from RNAcentral.
CAGUAGCCGCGGUAAUACAGAGGUCUCAAGCGUUGUUCGGAUUCAUUGGGCGUAAAGGGUGCGUAGGUGGCGGUGUAAGUCUAACGUGAAAUCUCGGGGCUCAACCUCGAAAUUGCGUCGGAUACUGCAUUGCUAGAGGAUUGUAGAGGAGAGUGGAAUCCAUGGUGUAGCAGUGAAAUGCGUAGAUAUCAUGAGGAAGACCAGUUGCGAAGGCGACUCUCUGGGCAAUUCCUGACACUGAGGCACGAAGGCUAGGGGAGCAAACGGGAUUAGAUACCCCCGUAGUCCCUGUCUCUUAUAA